This is a long non-coding RNA of Eriocheir sinensis (Chinese mitten crab), 3114 nucleotides long. RefSeq lists it as uncharacterized. The record is from RefSeq and is a predicted model, not a curated record. The transcript has 3 exons. Lineage: Eukaryota; Metazoa; Arthropoda; Malacostraca; Decapoda; Varunidae.
CAAGAAGAAUCAUGAAUUUAUAAAAUAGGUAUGAAACUAACAUUUUCAUUUAUUUCAUAAUUUAUUUACUAUUUAUUACUUUAUUUAUUUCUUAAUAUCAUUAUUUUGCCAUUAUUUAACAUUUGUUUUAUUUUUUAGUUAUUUAAAUUUAUUUCUUCUCUCAGUUGAUUACUAGUUUGUUUAUUAAUAUUACGUAAACAUUCAUUCAUUCAAAAAUAUUUGUAGGAGGGCAAAACAAAAACAAGUCACAUUUAUACAUUUUAUUACACAUACUAUCAUACAUAUUACCACACAUAUUAUCACACACGGUAUUUACUCGCCCACAGUUCUGUCCAGCCAGGCCACUGCUCCCCGGGUGUUGUAGUAGUCCAUGAGGUAGGCUCGGAUAUUCUUGGGGUUUACCAGCUCUUGGGUUCCGCAGAGGGUCGAGUGGGACGAUUUGAUCGCCCUCUCGCCAUUCCCCUGGAACAAGUUGCGAGAGACGAGGUGGGCUCUUCAGCGGUCGGUGAAGAAGUGUGUUGCACCUUCUUCUUCUUCAUACGAUUUAUCCCCUAAAAAGGGGGACAGGGCCUUUGCACCUAGGAUUCCCGUGCUUUUAUAUGCCACAUGGGCAUCAGAUGAUCAGCUGUCAGAAAUCUUGGCACUGUCGGAGAAUUGUCCCCGACAUGUCGCCGACACUUCGGGGACAUACGAAGACAAUUCGGAGACUUGUCGCCAAUUAUUCCGCGACAAAAAAAAAAAAAACGUUAAAAUUUCAGAUUUUGAACUCGGCGACAUGGACGCCGAAUAAUCGGCGACAUGUCUCCGAAUUGUCCCCGAAUUGUCCGGAGCACUCGCCGACAUGUCGCCGAAUGGCCACGAACUAUAAGAAUCUUGGUCAUGUCGGCGAACCGGUCGCCGAAUUUUUUCACGAACUGAUUCGGCGACAAGUUCAUGGCCAAAAUUUGGCAGUGUAUUUGGGGCUUAAGAAUCCAAGCGGUACUAAUACCGGAAAUGGUACCGUUAUAGUCUUCCGAUACUUUGAGCGGGGCCCAGUACCGAUAGUGUCAUGAGCUCUCGGUACCACAGAGUUAUAUACAUAGACAAUGAACCCUAUACUAUGGAACGGACACUUGCCCCAGCAUUGUCAUUAAGCCGCGAAUUUUGGAAAAUCAACCGCUUAGAUGAGAAUCGCCAUUACUCCCUUAUUUCAGGGGCUACAGAAAAGUUUUUGGUAUCAAUCGACGGCAAAGUGAAAGGGCGAUAUUUUUUUUAAUUAGCGACCGGCUCGAAAACCGAUUUGAAAGGUAAAAAAAUCGAAUAAAUUUGCAAAAAGGGACUCUGAAAAAAAACUUUUUGAGUUCCCAACCUUGAAACCCGCUCAUUUUUUGAGAAUUUCAAAAACUUUAUUUAUUAAAUGAUUUAGCCCUGCCAAUGUGCUUUCCAAUAUGGUGCAUAACAUUUCCCUACUCCCAGUAGUUUCGUCGCUAGAGCUCGAAACGUAAACCCUGUCGAGAGCGAUUUUGACGAACUCCAGACACUUUACCGUUUUUGUCUAGUGUGGCCCUACUAUUGCCUCUAGAAGGCUGUAAUGUGGCAUGUAGCCCCUCUUGGCAAUGAAGUUUGACCAAUAUAUAUAUAUAUAUAUAUAUAUAUAUAUAUAUAUAUAUAUAUAUAUAUAUAUAUAUAUAAAAACUUGUGUACUUUUGUCGGUAGUCCCAAUAUAAGUCUGCAGCGGCAGCUGCUAUUAAGCGAGUCUGUUAUCAUUCCCACCCUUUUUUUAUAACUUAAUAGAAGUUUAUAAAGUUUAUACAAAUACUUUUGAACUUGAAUAAAAUAUAACAUAUACUGGACGUAAUUUAUAGACAAUUAUUUCAUUAAAAUGACACAAUAGGUAUCAACAUACUUCAAACUCUAUAGCGCACAAUAUAUAUUAACUUUAUAGUAUUAUUCUGUUCAUAUGUUUCAUAUAUUAUUAGUUUUUAUGUAAUCACACAUUGUAUUAUUCAUAAAUGGGAAGAAAUAUGAUUGAAUACUAAAAAAAAAAAAAGAAAUAACACCAGUGGAUGGGAGGAUAGGCGUAACACUAGAAUAUGAGAGGCUAAUUUUUUUCUCCGCUGAAGCUAAUCCCUGACCUAUGAUUUGUGUUUCUUUCUUUUCUUGUUCGCUAUUGCUUUCAAUUUACUUGCGAGAACAACUAUUGCAGUCUCCAUCGUAACAGUGAGGCGAUCGAGGCCAUUCUUAUCGGUGUUGAAAGGUCAGGCAAAUCCUGUUAUUUUAAAAAGAAAUAUAAUAUGUAAACAUCCAUUUAGUAUGUCAGUUACAAUUAUGUCUCAGUAGAAUAUUUUUUCUAGAGUCCAUCCAUAGGACAAUUUAUGUAGGUAUAAAUAACACCGUUUCGAAGACGACCAGCGCUGACUCGGUGACUCUGAGCCGACCAACGCGUGGCGGUAAACAACGCGGCCGCAGGAGCGUGACCUCGGAAGUGUGCGUGCGUUUGUGUGUGUUUGUGUGUGGAAAGGAUAUGUCUUGCGGCCCACACGACAGAGUUAGCCUUCAGAAUACAUCGCCUGGGAGGAGACAAACUGGUGGCGGGCCAAGUGGAAUAUGAGUCAUGUUGAGUCGGGAUGUCACAAGUACGGUGCCGUGCCGCGCCUUGUCGGCAGGACGCGGUGGACUGACCCUCGCUGAGCCUUUACUGCUACCCUCCAGUCACCCCCUCCACACAACCACCACCACCACCACUCCCGACCUGAGGCGACUAGUACCAUUAUAACUACGACCAUCACACCUCCCCGCUGAAGUGAAAGCUGGAAGACAACUUCUCCUGAACAGCGGCGAAGGAUGCAGUCGAAAAGUAUGGGGAGUCACUGGGUGGUAUGUAGCAAAAUGCAAAAAACAAACGAGACAUACUUCCAAAUCUUAACCAUACCUGGUGACCGAUACUAAGAUUCACGUCCUGCACCAAAUGGGCGAGGCAGUUCCUGACACACACCACCACACCCCCACGCUCCGCUGACCCGACCACUCGACUGCGGUACGACACGUAGCCGGGGACACACACAGACUGCCCUGUCUUUACCUCAGUAAGACAUAAUUAUUACAUCAUAGCACAAUAAAAAAAUCAGCACACUA